This 694-nucleotide small RNA is filed under the name Pongo abelii (Sumatran orangutan). Its description in RNAcentral is "retained intron". Lineage: Eukaryota; Metazoa; Chordata; Mammalia; Primates; Hominidae. The record is from RNAcentral.
GAAUGAUAGGGGAAAAUAAGGCAAGGGUGAGAGAAGACCUUGUGUGGAUAUUUGUCCAAAAUGUUUAUCCACAGGAACAAUCCCUUCGUGAAGGCUGCUGGUGUGUGAAUGUGUGCCGGUUCCUUGGGGCGUUCAUUUGGAUCUUUCUGUGUUCCAGUGACCUACGGCAUGAUGAGCUCCAAUGUGUACUACUACACCCGGAUGAUGUCACAGCUCUUCCUAGACACCCCCGUGUCCAAAACGGAGAAAACUAACUUUAAAACUCUGUCUUCCAUGGAAGACUUCUGGAAGUUCACAGAAGGCUCCUUAUUGGAUGGGCUGUACUGGAAGAUGCAGCCCAGCAACCAGACUGAAGCUGACAACCGAAGUUUCAUCUUCUAUGAGAACCUGCUGUUAGGGGUUCCACGAAUACGGCAACUCCGAGUCAGAAACGGAUCCUGCUCUAUCCCCCAGGACUUGAGAGAUGAAAUUAAAGAGUGCUAUGAUGUCUACUCUGUCAGUAGUGAAGAUAGGGCUCCCUUUGGGCCCCGAAAUGGAACCGCUUGGAUCUACACAAGUGAAAAAGACUUGAAUGGUAGUAGCCACUGGGGAAUCAUUGCAACUUAUAGUGGAGCUGGCUAUUAUCUGGAUUUGUCAAGAACAAGAGAGGAAACAGCUGCACAAGUUGCUAGCCUCAAGAAAAAUGUCUGGCUGG